CCUUACCUACCCUUGACAUGGUCGGAAUCCCGCUGAGAGGUGGGAGUGCUCGAAAGAGAACCGGCGCACAGGUGCUGCAUGGCUGUCGUCAGCUCGUGUCGUGAGAUGUUGGGUUAAGUCCCGCAACGAGCGCAACCCUUGUCCUUAGUUGCUACGCAAGAGCACUCUAAGGAGACUGCCGGUGACAAACCGGAGGAAGGUGGGGAUGACGUCAAGUCCUCAUGGCCCUUAUGGGUAGGGCUUCACACGUCAUACAAUGGUCGGAACAGAGGGUUGCCAACCCGCGAGGGGGAGCUAAUCCCAGAAACCCGAUCGUAGUCCGGAUUGCACUCUGCAACUCGAGUGCAUGAAGCUGGAAUCGCUAGUAAUCGCGGAUCAG
RNAcentral lists this ribosomal RNA (379 nucleotides) under Burkholderia sp. 61R. Its description in RNAcentral is "bacterial SSU rRNA". It matches the Rfam family "Bacterial small subunit ribosomal RNA", at positions 969 to 1352 of the family's 1533-position model. Lineage: Bacteria; Pseudomonadati; Pseudomonadota; Betaproteobacteria; Burkholderiales; Burkholderiaceae. The record is from RNAcentral.